AACCUGCUCGUUGGGUCUUCCACUUCUCGCCCUUUCUCCUCUCACUGCCGUAGGCGACGUCGCACACGCACAUAAAUACAUCUCUGAGGCCCACCAACGCAAUCAUGCUUCUCACAGAGCCGGUGUGCUGAGGAGAUGGAAAAGGCGUGCACCUGCGUGUCGCAUAUUCUCUGCUUCGCGGCGGCGAUAAGGAGGCGUUGCAUGCCCCGCCAAUCGGCAAGGGAGAGGGAGCAGCGGAUGCGCCCAUCGUGUCCACUGUGCCCGCAGCAUCCCCCUACGGCGACGACUGCACCCGACGGGGCAGAGCAGCGCGCAACUCCAACGGCGCAGCCCGAGGCUCUGCUGUCGCAAUGUCCGCCGCUGGCUUGUGCGCGCGUCGCACUCGGAGACAUCGGCGGCCGCGCUGCUCUUUGGGGCUCAGACACCCACCUCACAGCCGCGGUUGCCGCCCUUCUCCAUCAACAAGGUGAAAGACAUCGUUGCCGACGGGUAUGAGGAAACUGGGCGGGGGGAGGGCAGAGGGCGUCCGGCACACGCGAGGCAGCCGCAGCGCUGCAGGUGUGUGUGUGUGUGUGUGCUGUCACCAAGAGUGAUGGCGAGAGGGGCGACGUGAGUGACAGCGGUCCCAUCGGUGGCGGAGAAGAGGACGAGAUGGACAGCUUUUCCAGUAUGGGCGGCAACAGCCGUGGCGGCGCUGACAAGUGCAACGGACGCACGAAUACCCCUCACACUUCUCGCGACGGCAGGCACCCGGCUCGCUUGCGAGCCCCUCCUCCUUCCUUCCCCGCAAGGACCGCAUCUCCAUGUGGGCCCAUGCGCGUGCUACUCUCUGCGGCUUGCUGAUGUGUAUGCGUUGCUGUUGUUGUCGGCGUGCGCCUAUGCACCAGGAAGCACUUGCUUCAGAUGUCCGUGUAGACAGAAAUGGGAGGAGAGGGAAGAGGGGCGCUCAACCGUUGUGGGUCUCAAGCCGCCGUGCUUCUGAUUUUGUAGGCUGUGCGCCUCCACCGGCCCUACAGCCUCCUAGUCCCACUCCGGCUUGCGGUCUUGUACAUCCUGAGCGGAUUCUCUUUUGUUUCUUCGUGGUGGUAGCGGUGUUGGUGGUGAGAGGGAGGAGGGGUAGUUUGCGCUUCCACCGCCGCUCGUCCGUUGUUCAGUGGGGCUGUACCCGCUGUCUCCGCAACUGUGCCUGUGUCUCUCACCAAUCAAUGCACGUGUGUUGGGCGUUGUCUGCCGACCGUACCGGCGCCCGUGCCGGGGGUCUUGGCGCAGAUGCAUGCGUGCACGUAUUAGGUACAUCAAGAGAAGUCGUGAUACGCAAAUUUUGCAUAUGUUAUCGCUCCCUCGCUUCGACUUUUUUGUUCUGCAGUUUACCUGCUCGCCCUCCACCCCCCCCCUCCGGCCCACGCGGUGCUUCUCCCGCUCGCACGCACGCACGCAG
Molecule: unclassified non-coding RNA, 1438 nt
Filed under: Leishmania donovani
Lineage: Eukaryota; Euglenozoa; Kinetoplastea; Trypanosomatida; Trypanosomatidae
Description: gene:unknown
Source: RNAcentral